This 513-nucleotide ribosomal RNA is filed under the name Hansarsia atlantica. Its description in RNAcentral is "partial 16S ribosomal RNA". It matches the Rfam family "Archaeal large subunit ribosomal RNA", at positions 1911 to 2666 of the family's 2987-position model. The record is from RNAcentral. Lineage: Eukaryota; Metazoa; Arthropoda; Malacostraca; Euphausiacea; Euphausiidae.
GUCUUUAUGUUUAAAUUUAUAAAGUCUGGCCUGCCCACUGAAUUUUAAAGGGCCGCGGUAUUUUGACCGUGCAAAGGUAGCAUAGUAAUUAGUCUUUUAAUUGGAGGCUUGUAUGAAUGGUUGAACAAGAAAUAAUUUGUCUUAAUUUAAAUAAUUGAAUUUAACUUUUAAGUAAAAAGGCUUAAAUACAUUAAAGUGACGAUAAGACCCUAUAAAACUUAAUAAUUCAAGUUAUAAAAAUGAAUUAGUUAUUUAAAAUUUUUUUAAUAAAUUUUAUUUUAUUGGGGCGAUAAAAAUAUAAAUAGUAACUGUUUUAAAGAUUUAAAUGAUUAUUGUCAGUAAAAUUAAAUGAUCCUUUUUUAAAGAUUAUAAGAUUAAGUUACUUUAGGGAUAACAGCGUAAUUUUCUUUAAAAGUUCUUAUUAACAAGAGAGAUUGCGACCUCGAUGUUGAAUUAAAAAUUCUUUAAGGUGUAGCAGCUUUAGUAGAAGGUCUGUUCGACCUUUAAAUUUUU